RNAcentral lists this ribosomal RNA (433 nucleotides) under uncultured bacterium. RNAcentral describes it as "partial 16S ribosomal RNA". It matches the Rfam family "Bacterial small subunit ribosomal RNA", at positions 29 to 507 of the family's 1533-position model. The record is from RNAcentral.
AACGAACGCUGGCGGCAUGCCUAACACAUGCAAGUCGAACGAGACCUCCGGGUCUAGUGGCGCACGGGUGCGUAACGCGUGGGAACCUGCCCUUAGGUUCGGAAUAACUCCCCGAAAGGGGUGCUAAUACCGGAUAAUGUCUUCGGACCAAAGAUUUAUCGCCUUUGGAUGGGCCCGCGUUGGAUUAGCUAGUUGGUAGGGUAGAAGCCGACCAAGGCGACGAUCCAUAGCUGGUCUGAGAGGAUGAUCAGCCACACUGGGACUGAGACACGGCCCAGACUCCUACGGGAGGCAGCAGUGGGGAAUAUUGGAGAAUGGGCGAAAGCCUGAUCCAGCAAUGCCGCGUGAGUGAUGAAGGCCUUAGGGUUGUAAAGCUCUUUUGCCCGGGAUGAUAAUGACGGUACCGGGAGAAUAAGCUCCGGCUAACUCCGUG